Molecule: ribosomal RNA, 254 nt
Filed under: uncultured bacterium
Lineage: Bacteria
Description: partial 16S ribosomal RNA
Rfam family: Bacterial small subunit ribosomal RNA
Source: RNAcentral
UACGGGGGGUGCAAGCGUUGUCCGGAAUGAUUGGGCGUAAAGCAUCUGUAGGUGGUUUUUAAAGUCGACUGUUAAAGCCCAGGGCUUAACUUUGGAUAAGCGGUCGAGUACUUAAGGACUUGAGUUUGGUAGGGGUAGAGGGAAUUCCUAGUGGAGCGGUGAAAUGCACAGAGAUUAGGAAGAACACCGAAGGCGAAAGCACUCUACUGGGCCAUAACUGACACUGAGAGAUGAAAGUUGGGGGAGCGAAAAGG